GUAAACUAUUAAUCGGAAAAAGACCAGAAGCGCACUUCCAAACACUGCAACAGCACCAGGUCUGACGCCCUUCAUGGCCGUUUUAAGCAUCCGGAUGCCCGUCUCGUCCCGGGUGUUGACGGAGACCAUCUCCUCCCCGCUGGCCGAAAUGUACACCUGCCCGUCCGUCAGGCAGCCCGACACGCUGCACAGCAGGAGCUUGAUGGCCUCCAGCUUCUCCAUGCCGAAGUAGCCGUACCUGCGGGACGAAACGGCAGAGCCAAACAGUCAGGACAACUGAAUAUCUGACCAGGAUGAAAUGAUUUUGCACACUUGAGGGGCCGUGAGCAUUUG
Molecule: long non-coding RNA, 333 nt
Organism: Anguilla anguilla (European eel)
Lineage: Eukaryota; Metazoa; Chordata; Actinopteri; Anguilliformes; Anguillidae
Exons: 3
Source: RefSeq, a predicted model, not a curated record